AGAUNUGAAGGUAAAUAGAUAUGUUAAUUUUAUGGAUUGCCAGUGUUGUUUUGGGUGAUAUGGCUAGUUAGGUGAUAUCCCCUUCCUCCAUAACCAGUCCCUGUAUAACUUUCUGGAAGUUGCACNCUUAGCAGAUGAGACUAUUUUCUNAAUAGAAAAGGUCCAACCCCUGGUCAAGGAUAUAUGAAUAGCUGUGCUCCCUGGCUGGAACCUCCAAGCAGGCUGUCAAGAUGGGCACAUGUUAUUUUCAUUCUGCUUAUUUCCAUGUCUAGCCACUAUCUAACAACAUCUUCACCCUCUUCUCCAAUAAAUGAGUGUGU
RNAcentral lists this small nuclear RNA (320 nucleotides) under Neotoma lepida (desert woodrat). RNAcentral's name for it is "7SK RNA". It matches the Rfam family "7SK RNA", at positions 1 to 260 of the family's 331-position model. Rfam says of the family: 7SK was discovered as an abundant small nuclear RNA in the mid-70s but a possible function has only recently been suggested. Two independent studies have found that 7SK RNA binds the CDK9/cyclin T complex (known as elongation factor P-TEFb). The record is from Rfam by way of RNAcentral. Lineage: Eukaryota; Metazoa; Chordata; Mammalia; Rodentia; Cricetidae.